GAUGAACGCUGGCGGCGUGCUUAACACAUGCAAGUCGAACGGGAUCCAAGGGGUGCUUGCACUUUUUGGUGAGAGUGGCGAACGGGUGAGUAACACGUGAGUAACCUGUCCUUUUCUUUGGGAUAAGCAUUCGAAAGGGUGUUUAAUACCUUAUGUUCUGUCUGCCUCGCAUGGGGUGGGUGGGAAAGGCUUUGGCCGGAUUUGGGUGGGCUCGCGGUCUAUCAGCUUGUUGGUGGGGUGAUGGCUUACCAAGGCUUUGACGGGUAGCCGGCCUGAGAGGGUGGUCGGUCACAUUGGGACUGGGAUACGGCCCAGACUCCUGCGGGAGGCAGCAGUGGGGGAAAUUGCACAAUGGGCGAAAGCCUGAUGCAGCGACGCCGCGUGGGGGAUGAAGGCCUUCGGGUUGUAAACUUCUUUUGCUCUGAACAAGGCAUGCCAGUGGGUGUGUUGAGUGUAGGGGUUGAUUAGCGCCGGCUAACUACGUG
This 485-nucleotide ribosomal RNA is filed under the name uncultured bacterium. RNAcentral describes it as "partial 16S ribosomal RNA". It matches the Rfam family "Bacterial small subunit ribosomal RNA", at positions 28 to 507 of the family's 1533-position model. The record is from RNAcentral.